GUCAUAAGUGGGCGUGACGGUUCCCCGAGAAUGACUUCAACGGGAUUAAUAGGGAACACGGUGCGGAAGACCCCAAAGGGACCAAGACCGUGGCUGCCCCCGCAACUGUAAGCGGAUUGCCGAUCAUCCUUGGGCCGGAAGGCCAUGCCACUGCGACUAUCGCGGGAAGGCAGAUGACCGACACGUAUCCGUGAGCCAGGAGACCUGCCGUCGAUCACGAUUCCAA
RNAcentral lists this non-coding RNA (226 nucleotides) under Rhizobium sp. The record is from RNAcentral. Lineage: Bacteria; Pseudomonadati; Pseudomonadota; Alphaproteobacteria; Hyphomicrobiales; Rhizobiaceae.